RNAcentral lists this ribosomal RNA (250 nucleotides) under uncultured bacterium. RNAcentral describes it as "partial 16S ribosomal RNA". It matches the Rfam family "Bacterial small subunit ribosomal RNA", at positions 524 to 773 of the family's 1533-position model. The record is from RNAcentral.
UACGUAGGCAGCGAGCGUUGUUCGGAAUUACUGGGCGUAAAGAGUGUGUAGGCGGUGUUCCAAGUCUGGUGUGAAAUCUCCCGGCUCAACUGGGAGGGUGCGCCGGAAACUGGGAUGCUGGAGUGUGGGAGAGGUAAGCGGAAUUCCUGGUGUAGCGGUGAAAUGCGUAGAUAUCAGGAGGAACACCUGUGGUGUAGACAGCUUACUGGACCACGACUGACGCUGAGACACGAAAGCGUGGGUAGCAAAC